GAUCCUGGCUCAGGACGAACGCUGGCGGCGUGCCUAACACAUGCAAGUCGAACGAGAAUCGUAUGACGGAGUUUUCGGACAACUGAUUACGAGGACAGUGGCGGACGGGUGAGUAACGCGUGAGCAACCUGCCUUGGAGUGGGGGACAACAGAGGGAAACUUCUGCUAAUACCGCAUAAUGUGCCGUGGGGACAUCCCCGUGGCACCAAAGAUUUAUCGCUCUAAGAUGGGCUCGCGU
RNAcentral lists this ribosomal RNA (238 nucleotides) under uncultured bacterium. Its description in RNAcentral is "partial 16S ribosomal RNA". It matches the Rfam family "Bacterial small subunit ribosomal RNA", at positions 15 to 236 of the family's 1533-position model. The record is from RNAcentral.